This 47-nucleotide non-coding RNA is filed under the name Schistosoma margrebowiei. Lineage: Eukaryota; Metazoa; Platyhelminthes; Trematoda; Strigeidida; Schistosomatidae. The record is from RNAcentral.
AUCCAGUUGACGAGUCUUAAAAACAGGAGGAAACGCGCGUCGGGGAU